UACGUAGGAUGCAAGCGUUGUCCGGAAUUAUUGGGCGUAAAGAGCGCGCAGGCGGUUUGCCAAGUCAGAUGUGAAAGAGGCCGGCUUAACCGGCAAGGGUCAUUUGAAACUGACAGACUAGAGUGCAGCAGAGGAUAGCGGAAUUCCCGGUGUAGUGGUGAAAUGCGUAGAUAUCGGGAGGAACACCAGUGGCGAAGGCGGCUAUCUGGGCUGCAACUGACGCUGAGGCGCGAAGGCUAGGGUAGCAAACAGG
This 253-nucleotide ribosomal RNA is filed under the name uncultured bacterium. RNAcentral's name for it is "partial 16S ribosomal RNA". It matches the Rfam family "Bacterial small subunit ribosomal RNA", at positions 524 to 776 of the family's 1533-position model. The record is from RNAcentral.